RNAcentral lists this long non-coding RNA (12666 nucleotides) under Salvia miltiorrhiza (redroot sage). RNAcentral's name for it is "long non-coding RNA (SMIL_LNC005768)". Lineage: Eukaryota; Viridiplantae; Streptophyta; Magnoliopsida; Lamiales; Lamiaceae. The record is from RNAcentral.
ACUCAUCGAUUUACUGCAGCCAUCAAGGUAAUAUCUCUUCUUAAUUGUUUUUCCUCUUCUAUGAAUUUGAUUAUCGAUUUUCCUAAACUCUUGCACCUGCCUUUCUUGUUCUCUUCAUCCUAUGUUUAGAAGUCUUGAGUAUUAAGGCUGAUGGGCUGAGGUUUAGGUGUGUGAGGGAGGAGGAGGGGUCGCCGGCGUGCAGCACCGGCGGCGGUGGCAUGGUGGCUGCCGCCAUUUUUUUUUAGGAUUUGUCCCCCUGUUUGUUUUUACAGCAGCAGGGUCGUAUCUUGCGAUCCGUUUUUCAUCUGCUUUCUGUCAUCAAACCCCAUCAAUAUAGGUACCAUUGGAAAGCUAUCGUUGUUGGCUUUCCAACGGUACCUUCGGAUCGUCAAUCCGACACCGGACGACGGAGUUAUGAGUUAAUCAAGUCAGGGUGUCGGGUCUGUGCGGGAUUGUCUCCGCGCGAGUUUGAGACUACUUUCCGGCGUCAAAUCGACGCCGUGAGGGAGAAUAACUUUAGAGGUUUUGUAGCUCAUGUCGUAGACGUUCUAAUCAUAGGUUUUCUUCUUGAAAUCUAAGGUCGAAUUGGCCGGAAUAGACGUCGAGAUGUAGCUCCAUAUGUGUCGAAUAUGAGUUUUAAUAUGUUAUGCUUAUUUUAAUUUUUAUUUGGGAAUUUGAAUUAGAUUUUUGAUGAUUGUUUCACCUUGAACACAUAAAUAGAUAAUCAAGACAUUUGCGUUUAAUAUUAUUAGCCAAGAAUUGAAAUAAAUUAUAAGGAUUAUGGUGAUCUAAACUUAGUAUAUUAUAUAAUUAAAUUAUAUGAUUAUAAUGAAGUUAGAUUAGUAUAAUUUAUACUAGUAAUUGAAACUAUGAAUUUAUAAUUUGUAGAUUCAUAAAAUUUUCAAAUAUGGUCUUUAGCUUCAAGUGUAUUGUAGAAUAUUCAAGAAUAUAUUCAAGAGAGAUUAAAAAUAUUGUAUAAAGAAAUGAGAGCUUAUUCAAGAAUAAGUGCUUGUAAUGAAACUAAGUUUAAAGUGUUUCAAGUGCUAGGAGCAGCGCAUCCAAGGCUCGAGGAGGACAACCGAAGCAAGCUUGAAGAUGUUUGAAUUCAAUCACUUAAGGUGGGGUUUUACUUUUAUCUGUAAGCGUAGUUGUUACAUGGUUAUAACAGCUUCCGUUGCCUUUGAAAUAUAUAUAUAUAUAUAUAUAUAUUGUGUUUUGGCAGGAUUAUUAUUGUAGUUUUACAGCUUCCGUUACAUAUUUUUUUAUAUUGGAAAAGAGAAAUAAAAUUUUGAUAAUUUUUCUAUUACACAUAUAGUAUAUUCUAAUAACUCAUUGGUUAAGUAUUAUUACUUUGAAUAGUAAUAUUUAUUAGAUUACUAUAUAAUCAAAAAAGAAAUUCUUUUUCUAUUUUUCUUUAUAGCCUAUACUUAAAUUAAUAUUAGAGAAAUGAAAUAAAUGAAUAUUUUUGGUAGCAUCUCCUAUUCGCAAGGGAUGGGGGCGUUACAGUGUGGUAUCAGAGCAGGUCUACGUUCCUGUAGACUUGCGUCUGAAGUAUAAUUAUUAGUAAUAUAUGAGUUGUUGUGACAUGCUUCGAAUCGGGAGAGAAUGUGGUUCGUGGCUGCUGCUCUAUGCCGACUCCAAGGUAAUAUGUAUUUAUUAAAUAAUUUUAUUUUGCUUAAAAUUAUGGUAUGAGUAUGAAAUGAUCGUCUCGAAAAAAAAAAGUUUGAAAGUUUGAUCGUAUCAAUUUGAAUAAUGUGAAAGAAUAUGUGUGUCCACAAGGGACAAAACAUGAUUUUAAUGUUUAGUUGAUACGAUUAUUGGCUAUGUUUUGAAUUUUCCGACACAUCAAUGAUAAAGCUUGAUAGAAUAUAUUUUAAAGAAUGAAAUGGAAGUUCCCUCAAUGAUCUUGAUUGACUUAUAUUACAUAGAUUUAUGCUCUAAUAGAAUUAGUCCUCGAAAUAUAACCUUUAGGACAUUUUACUUUAGGGCCUUACUAUCUUGAUUUAGUUAUAGGAUAAUACCCCCGCGACGCGCUCCGGAAGAUGAGCAGCAAUCCCCACGCGUGAAUAACAAUGGGGUUGAUUUUGCUCAAUUUCUACUAGCUCUCCAAGGCUUUAUGCAGCAACAACAGGAUGGUGGCAUGAAUGCUGGACAACCUCGAGUAAGGAAUUUUGAAAUUAUUGAACAGUUUCGAAUGAUGGGUCCACCAAGAUUUAAGGGAACCGAAGGGCCUGAAGACACGGAAGAAUGGAUUCGUGAGCUCGUACGAAUAUUUGAGCUUAUGGGCUGUAGUGAAGAGCAAAAAGUCUCGUGUGCGAUCUAUCAAUUGGCCGAAGAAGCAAGCCACUGGUGGGAAUCUCAUGCUCGAACGUUGACACUUGAACAACGCCAAGCUUUGAUUUGGAAGGACUUCAAGGAGCUGAUAACGGAUCGCUAUUUUUCUCAAUCCUACAUAACACAAAAGGAGACCGAGUUCCUCAAUCUCAAGCAAGGAAAUAUGACGCUAGUCGACUAUGAGAGAAAAUUCAACAAAUUGUCUCGAUAUGCACCAUACCUAGUCGACACGGAUGUGAAGAAAGCGCGUCGGUUCGAGCAAGGCUUACGACCUGAAAUUUGUGGAAUAAUAUCCACCUUGAGAUUGCCAACUUAUAGAGAAGUUAUCGACCGAGCUCAAGCAGUCUCCAAUGGCUUGCAACUAGAGAUCAAAGAUCAACAACACCGUGACUCAUUCGGAAAGAGAAAAUGGGAAGAUUUUGGAAAAGGGAAAAAUGCUCCAAUAAACAAGAAAUGGCAACCAACACGUGGUUCUUCAACAGGAUCUGCAUCAUCCAAGUCAAGCAAUGAGAAGUCUCAAUGUCCAAAGUGUAAUAAAUUCCACAUAGGCGAGUGUUGGCGAGGGAAGAACGUUUGCUACUCCUGCGGCGAUCAAGGACACAUGUCAUAUAACUGUCCAAAGAACAAGAAGGAGACACAAAAGAAUAUGCAAGAGCCUAUGAAGAAGGUGAAACCCCGAGUCUUUGCCAUGACUGAAGGAGACCCCAAUCCUGAGGACGGUGCCGACACCAUGUCAGGUAUACUUCAAGUCUCAAAUAUUCCUGCUUUGGUGCUAUUUGAUUCGGGAGCUACCCAUUCCUUCAUAUCUACGAAAUUUUGUUCGAAGAUUAGUAUAGUCUCCUACGAUAAUAGCGACGCACUAGAGGUUAGCAUUCCUUCGGGAAAAAUUAUUAGGAGCGAUAAGAUAACGAAGGGUAUAAAGAUAGACAUAAACGGGAAAGAGCUUGAAGCCGAUCUUCACGUCCUAGAAAUGCGAGAUUUCGAUAUAAUUUUAGGCAUGGAUUGGAUGGGCACGAAUAAUGCAACAAUUAGAUGUCGUGAGCGAGAGGUGGAGAUUCAACGCCCUGGAGAACCGAAGCUCAUCUUUUAUGGUGCUCGAACAAAAGCUCAUCCAAAGGUUAUAACCGCGAUGAAGGCAAUCAAGAUGCUAAGAAAGAAAGAUUGCCAAGGGUACCUAGUUAGUAUGACCACAACACUACCCAACGAAAGUAAGGUUUCUGAAGUGCCUAUAGUAAGAGAGUAUGCCGAUGUAUUUCCAAAUGAGUUACCAGGGAUUCCUCCAGACCGACAAAUCGAGUUCACCAUCGACUUAGUACCAGGAGCAACUCCAAUCUCGAAGGCACCCUAUAGGAUGGCACCUAAAGAAUUACAAGAACUUAAAGUUCAGCUACAAAAGUUGCUUGAUAAGGGAUUCAUUCGACCGAGUGUAUCUCCUUGGGGUGCUCCAGUAUUAUUCGUGANNNNNNNNNNNNNNNNNNNNNNNNNNNNNNNNNNNNNNNNNNNNNNNNNNNNNNNNNNNNNNNNNNNNNNNNNNNNNNNNNNNNNNNNNNNNNNNNNNNNNNNNNNNNNNNNNNNNNNNNNNNNNNNNNNNNNNNNNNNNNNNNNNNNNNNNNNNNNNNNNNNNNNNNNNNNNNNNNNNNNNNNNNNNNNNNNNNNNNNNNNNNNNNNNNNNNNNNNNNNNNNNNNNNNNNNNNNNNNNNNNNNNNNNNNNNNNNNNNNNNNNNNNNNNNNNNNNNNNNNNNNNNNNNNNNNNNNNNNNNNNNNNNNNNNNNNNNNNNNNNNNNNNNNNNNNNNNNNNNNNNNNNNNNNNNNNNNNNNNNNNNNNNNNNNNNNNNNNNNNNNNNNNNNNNNNNNNNNNNNNNNNNNNNUAGGUAGAGAUGUUACCUACUUAGAUAUGUAGUUCGAAAAGAUGAUCGGGGCUCGUCUCGGCACUCAAAUCGGAGCUUGAAAGCUCGAACACCAAGCUUCAAUGGGUGUUUGGCGUGAAUGGUGUGUAUUUAGUGUGUGUUUAAUGUGUUUGUGUGUGUGCUGCGUGAGUUUGUGUGUGUGGGCUGAAUAUCAGCUGUUUAAUAUGUGUGAGUGAGUGGGUUUGGGCGGUUGGGGGUGGUUAGGGGUAGGGUAGGUUAGAUAUUUAGGAUAUUAUCUCACUUAGUCGUUAAAUAUCUCGUUUCGUCUCGUUUUAACGACUAACUACCCAUACUCUUCGUUACUCGCCCUCUCAACUCCUACUCACUUUCAUUAUACUCGUAAUUCUAUAUAAAUAUAGAAAACGCAAGCUCGUUCUCGAAAUUCUGAUAAACGAGCUCAGUUCGUUUAUCGAGAAAUCCUGAUUCACUAUUCACUCAUCGUCCAAAAAUAAAAACUUUCAUUAUUGGACUCAUAUCGAAAAACUAAGAAUAUUUCUCGACGACGUGCACGUAAGAUUUUGAAAGUCGACAAAAAGACGAAAUAGCAGUAUUUUACUAUUCAUCGUCAAAAAGUCAAAAAUUUAAAAAACGUCUUAACGGACUCAGAUUUCACUUUCGAGUUCACCGUUCUCAUUCAAAUAAUUAUCUCGAAUUAUUCAAAUACUCAAACUCAAUUACGGAUAUAAAAUCCCACAUCAUCCAAACAUCAUCAAAAAAAAACAUCUCAACAUCUUUAAAAAAAAAAACAAGAAAACUUCAUAUAACUCCUCAUCUCUGUACAAAGUAAUCAAACAAGGGAUCUAUACCCUAAUUACUCAAACUCAAGCAACUAAACACGUCAUCAAAAGUCCGGGUAUUACAGAAAAGUUGUAUGCGAAAUUUCAAAAAUGUGAAUUCUGGUUGGAACGAGUAGCUUUUCUCGGACAUGUGAUUACACCGAAAGGGAUAGAAGUAGAUCCGUCCAAAGUUGAAGCAGUAAGUAAUUGGAAGACACCAACCAACGUGAAAGAGAUCAGGAGCUUCCUUGGAAUGGCUGGGUACUAUCGGCGAUUCAUAGAGGGAUUUUCGAAAAUUGCCGGUCCGUUAACAAAGCUAACGCGUAAGAAUGAAAAGUUCCAAUGGAGUGACCAAUGCGAGAAGAGUUUCCAAGAGCUUAAACAACGCCUAAUAUCAGCCCCAGUUUUGACAGUACCUGAUGGUACUGAAUGCUUUGUGAUCUAUACGGAUGCUUCAAAGCAAGGGAUCGGAUGUGUAUUGAUGCAACAUGGUAAGGUCGUGGCAUACGCAUCAAGGCAGUUGAAGCCUCACGAAGAGAAGUACCCAACUCACGACCUCGAGCUCGCAGCAGUUGUGCACGCAUUGAAAAUAUGGCGUCAUUAUCUCUAUGGCAGCAAGUGCGAAAUUUACACCGACCACAAGAGCCUCAAAUAUUUCUUCACUCAAAAGGAGUUAAACCUCCGCCAAAGAAGGUGGUUAGAGUUAGUUAAAGAUUAUGACUGCACAAUCCACUAUCACCCUGGAAAGGCGAACGUGGUUGCUGAUGCGUUAAGUCGAAAAAGUUAUCUUGCCACAUUACCUACUAGCGAGAAGAAGCUAAUUAGAGAAUUCGAGAUGCUUAAUUUGGAAGUGGUGCAACCGCCGAGCACCACAUCAGGAGUUAUAGCUGCACUUGUCGUCCGUCCAAUGCUAAGAGAUCGAAUUCGAGAGGCGCAAAAAGAUGAUCAAUUUUUGUGCAAAAUAAAGACAAGAGCACUCGAAGGUACCAUCCAAGGAUUCGCAGUCACAGAGGAUGGAACACUCGUUUACGAAGGAAGAUUGUUCGUGCCAAACAAUGAAGAGCUCAGACAGGAGAUACUUGAGGAAGCACACAAUACUCCAUACUCCGUGCAUCUAGGAGGAACCAAGAUGUACAAGGAUUUGAAAACGAUCUUUUGGUGGCGAAACAUGAAGAGAUCCAUUGGGAGCUUCGUAGAAAGAUGUAUCACUUGCCAACAGGUAAAAGCUGAACACCAACGCCCCUCUGGAUUACUAAACCCGCUCGAGAUUCCUGAGUGGAAAUGGGAGAAAAUUGCUAUGGACUUUGUGGUUGGAUUACCUCCCACAGUGAAAGGCCACCAUGCAAUUUGGGUUAUUAUUGAUACGUUGACGAAAUCAGCCCACUUUCUUCCUGUAAAGAUGACCUAUAGCAUGGAUCAAUUGGCGCAACUCUACAUUGAUGAGAUAGUAAGGCUACAUGGAGUACCAGUGUCAAUAGUGUCAGAUCGAGAUACGAGAUUCACUUCUAAGUUUUGGAUAAGCCUUCAAUCUGCCUUAGGCACCAAGUUGAAUUUCAGCACCGCCUAUCAUCCUCAGUCGGACGGACAAUCGGAACGAACUAUCCAAAUCUUGGAAGAUAUGCUUCGUGCUUGUGCGCUUGACUUGGGAGGAAGUGUAACACCCCGCCCAUUUCUAUUAAGUUUAGAAUUUAUUUUUAAUUUAGAUUAGGAUGAUUUACGCCGAAAAUGAAAAACGAUUUAUUUUUAAUUCCAACAAAAUUUAUUUUCAGAAGCCUUUAUAAAAAUUUAGUCUUUUGAAAUUUUGUGCAUUCAUAAAUUGAAUUAUAUGAAUAUGAGAUUAUUUUAUAUGUUAAUAUUUAUUUGUAUAUGAUUUAAUUAAAGUUUAUGUUAGACUUUAAUUAUUUAAAUGUGUUGGGCUUGGACAAAUAUUUAUUUGGGCCUUAGUUUUAAUUGAAAUGAUAUUCUAGAAAUACCAAAGCCCAAGAGCCCAAACCAACCUCCUUUACCAACCUCCAUGCCACCAUAGUCAAGUACACGCCAUGCUCUUCAACCAUGCCUCUACAAUUCAGCUACACUAUUCAUGCUUCAACCAUGCCUCUACAAUUCAGCUGCACUAUUCACCCGUCUUCAUGCUUCAACCAUGCCUCUACAAUUCAACUGCACUAUUCACCCGUCUUUUCACACUGUUCAGCCUCUCCUUAGUUCAGUAUUUUCCUCCUUUAAAGCCAUCCUCGUUUACCUAAAAUCUUUAGCAGCUGCAAAGGAUUUUAGACGGUAAAGUCUCCCCCUUCUCAAUUCAAUUUCUGCACAUAACACUUUCUUGACCCUUCAAACAUUUGUAUCUUCUGCAGAAACCACGACGACAUACAGAACAAACAAAUCACUCACUAAAGGUGCUACCUUUAAACUUCUCGGAUUAAAUUUCAUUUCGAUACACAUGUUUUAAGCACCCAGCCAAUGUUAGAAACCAACAAAGCAUGAGUAGCAGCCCCAUAACUGAAGAUACAAGCAUUUUACAUGUAUAAGGAAUUUGAACAAGAUUUAUAAUUGUAAAAUUCGAACUUGAUUAUGUGCUAAACUUGAGCCUUGAUUGUUGACUGUUGAAUGUUGAGUGUAUGCUUGCUGUGGUGAGAGUCGAGUCAGGGGAGAGACGGAAGGCGGCGGUCUGCGGUGGCUCCGAGCUGCUGUCUAGCCGGAGCGCGUAGAGAGAGAGAGAGAGUGAAGCCGAGGGUGCGUGUGUUCUGUUGCUGGGUCGGAGCUCCGCGGCGGCGGCGGCCUGGCAGCUGCUGUCUGUCGAAGCCAGUGAGGGAGAGGGAGAGGAAAGAGAGAUAGGGCGGAGGCGGCGUCGUGUGUGGCGUCGUCGCUGCCGGAAAUUGAAGGUAGAUCUAGAUAUUUGGGGAUCUAGGGUUCCGGUGGGAUUUAGAGAGAGAGGAAGGUUAGGAGGGAAGUGAGGUGAUUUAGGGCUUUGGGUUUGGGCGAGCGGCGGCGGCGGUGGUUUCAAUGCCGCUGCGGCCGCCGGAUUUCAGAGGGAGUCGGCAGCCUGAGGUGGUGCGUCGUGGGUGUAUUCCGUGGGAGAGGGACGAGAGAGAGAGGUCAGAGGGUGACGUGGCGUUGACCGGGGUUCCCCGCGGUUGCUGCUGCGCCGGAGGAGGGCCGGCGUUGGCCGGAGAUGAGGGAGAAGAGAAGGGGAGCCGGUGGAGGGUGUGUCUACAUCGGCUGUGUGGUGUGAGUGUGUGCGUGUGUUUCUGAAUGUGUGUGUGUGUGUGCGCGUGUGAUUUAAAAUGAGGAAGGGAGAAAGGGAUUUAGGGCUAGGAUGUUGGGCCUACCUUAUUUUCUUUGGGUUUGGGCCAGAUUUAUUUAUUAAGUCUUGGGCCUGUUUUUUUUAAGUGAUGGACUGCAUUUUAUUUCAAUUGGGCUUCGAAUUUUAAAAGCUUCCUUUUAAUUGUUAGACUUCUUUAAUUGAUUUAUUAAUUUGACUCUUUAAUUUGAGUUUAAAUAAAAUAUUUUUAAAGAAUAGUUUGCAUAAUAUUAUUUGUAUUAUGUGCAUAUGUCGAAUGUAUUUACUUAGUUAUGUGUUUUAAAAGCAUGAAAGAAAUUUGCAUUAAAAUAUUUUUCAAAUAAAAUCAUUAUGAUUAAAUGGGUUUUAUUAUUAAUUCAAGUAUUUAAGAAAAAUCGAGCAAGGAUAUUGUUGGUGUCCUUGACUCAAGAAUUUAGUUUUCAAAUAUUUAUUAAAUUUUGAAAACCCGGAAAGUGAAUCAUAGGAUGAUAAGCACUACACCAUGACUUAAGAUUAGAUUCAGGUGACCUAUUAAGAUUAUAGAUUUCUUGUAGGCUUUGUGGAUCGUGAGGAUUAACACUGCUAUACCGAUUCAGAGUUAAGAAUAAACGACAGGCAUUGCCUAAUCAGGUGGGCUUAUUUUCCAAAUGUAUGAUUUAGCUAUUGAGCUUAAAUGUUUUAAUGAAAUGAAAAUUGUUUAUCCGAUAAAAUAUUUUGUGCACUCUGCUCUGUUUAAGGCUCGCAUAAGUUAAUCGAUCGAGGUUCUCUCUUGACCUAACACGUUAUUUGAGAAUUGUGUACACCUAUUAGUUGACUCGGUGGGUUGAUCUCCAUUCGGGCACUAAUCAUGUAUGAGGCGUUAUAAGGGUGCUCGACGGGAUGUGUUCCGGAGCAUUGGGUCCCAAAUGGGAACUUGGCUGGGUUACGCCCUCAGUUCAAGUAAGCAGGAGUAAUGGAUCCGUUGGUGGCUAAAAGGUCCGGAUCACAGCGAGUAACGGAAAGGGAGUGUGACAAUUGCGCGCAAUAUAAUAAAAUGUUUUAACAUGCUUAGAAGUUAUUUCAAUUUAAAACCUUCUAAGUCAUGUCAAGUAUAAUUGGAUAAACUGCUCUUAUGAUUAUGAAAUGUUUAUAAAAAUGAUAUCCCACUAAGUACAUUAGUACUUAGCCCAAAAUUACUUUCAAAUGUUUUUAGGUUGAUUGGUCGGUGCUGACGGGGCAGAGCUGAGGCUAGGGUUCAACUCCGUAUUUUGUCUUCCGCUGUUGUACUAGCUCUUAUUUGUCUUAUGUUUCUCUAACUUAAGACCUUUAUGUUAAAUUCUGAAUUAUGUUUCUUAUCGAGCGUAGACUCUCAACUUCUAACUCUAUGUUAUUUAACGUUGGUUAUCAGAAGCAUGAAACCAAACUUGUGAUCCUGAAGUUUAGAAUGUUGUUGAUUGAUUAGUAUCACUUGAUUUCUAUCUUUCUUCAUUCAAAGGGGCGUUGCCCAACCUUUUUAUCCUAUUAUCUGAAUUUCACAAGGUUCUUCCCUUGUUUAUUUCUAUGAUUUUAGUCGCACCUCGAUUAUAGUUUAUUCCUUCAAGAAUUGGGGUGUGACAGGAAGUUGGGAGAAACACUUACCAUUGGUCGAGUUCGCGUACAAUAAUAGCCACCAAGCUACAAUCGGGAUGCCGCCAUUUGAAGCUCUUUAUGGAAGAAGAUGCCGAUCACCGAUUCACUGGGAUGAAGUCGGAGAAAGACGAAUUUUGGGACCCGAGAUCAUUGAAAGAGUAGUUGGAGUAAUUGCAAAAAUUAGAGAAAGAAUCAAGAUAGCCCAAGAUCGUCAAAAGUCUUACGUCGAUCCAAAACGAAAAGACGUGCAUUUCGAGGUUGGAGACAAAGUAUUCUUGAAGAUAGCACCGAUGAAAGGAGUCAUUAGAUUCGGCAAAAAGGAAAAUUUACAAUCUCGAUACGUAGGACCAUUUGAAAUACUUGAAAGGAUAGGAGGCAUAGCUUAUCGCUUAGCUUUACCCCCAGACCUAGCAGGCGUACAUAACGUAUUCCACGUGUCGAUGCUUAGGAAAUACGUUUCUGACCCAAGCCACAUCAUUUCUCGUGGGAGUCUCCAAAUUUCUCCUGACCUAACCUAUGAGGAAACGCAUGUUGCCAUCUUAGAUCGAAAGGUUCAUACCUUAAGAAAUAGAUUAGUGCCAUUAGUAAAAGUCCAAUGGAGUAGGCACGGACCAGAAGAAGCAACGUGGGAGAAAGAAGACGACCUUUUAGCGCGAUAUCCUCACUUCAAAGACUUGCAAGGUUAAUUUCGAGGACGAAAUUAUUUUUAAGGGUGGUAGGGUGUAACACCCCAAACCUUUUUAGUUUAUUUAAAAUUUGCUUAUUAUAUAUUAAAAAAUAUUUACACUUAAAUUAAUUAUUUUAUGACUUCAUUAAAACUAACGGAUUUGAUUUUUAAAUGUUUAACAGGUUGUCCGACUUUGAGCAAGGAUCCGCCCUAGCAAAAUUAAAAUUUACUUAUAAAUAAAUCUUAAAGAGUAAGAUUAGUAAAAUAAAAUACAUGAAAACUCUAGAAUAUGUUAGAUAUUAAUAUGUAAAUUGUUUAUAUAAAAAAAGUAUAAGUAAAUGGAAUAUUCUAGAAUUGAUUUAAUAUUAAAAUAUUAAGGAUUUUUGUAAUAAGUCAUAUAAUAUUAAUGAAUAAACUUUAAUAUUCUAGAAUUGCUAUUGAUAAGAAAUAUCUAAGAUUUUAUUAGCAAAUAGCAUUAAAACAUUUAUAAAGUGUUAGAUUUUUAUUGUAUAAGUUAGAUUUUUUAAUAGAUAAUCCAUGUAUAUAUAUAAGGAUAUGCUUAUGAUUUGGUAAUUUCUCUAUCUUCUCUCCCCUGCGUCUUUUCUCUUCUCUCCAUCUUCACCACUCAUCGAUUUACUGCAGCCAUCAAGGUAAUAUCUCUUCUUAAUUGUUUUUCCUCUUCUAUGAAUUUGAUUAUCGAUUUUCCUAAACUCUUGCACCUCCCUUUCUUGUUCUCUUCAUCCUAUGUGUAGAAGUCUUGAGUAUUAAGGCUGAUGGGCUGAGGUUUAGGUGUGUGAGGGAGGAGGAGGGGUCGCCGGCGUGCAGCACCGGCGGCGGUGGCAUGGUGGCUGCCGCCAUUUUUUUUAGGAUUUGUCCCCCUGUUUGUUUUUACAGCAGCAGGGUCGUAUCUUGCGAUCCGUUUUUCAUCUGUUUUCUGUCAUCAAACCCCAUCAAUAUAGGUACCAUUGGAAAGCUAUCGUCGUUGGCUUUCCAACGGUACCUUCGGAUCGUCAAUCCGACACCGGACGACGGAGUUAUGAGUCAAUCAAGUCAGGGUGUCGGGUCUGUGCGGGAUUGUCUCCGCGCGAGUUUGAGACUACUUUCCGACGUCAAAUCGACGCCGUGAGGGAGAAUAAGUUUAGGGGUUUUGUAGCUCAUGUCGUAGACGUUCUAAUCAUAGGUUUUCUUCUUGAAAUCUAAGGUUGAAUUGGCUGGAAUAGACGUCGAGAUGUAGCUCCAUAUGUGUCGAAUAUGAGUUUUAAUAUGUUAUGCUUAUUUUAAUUUUUAUUUGGGAAUUUGAAUUAGAUUUUUGAUGAUUGUUUCACCUUGAACGCAUAAAUAGAUAAUCAAGACAUUUGUGUUUAAUAUUAUUAGCCAAGAAUUUAAAUAAAUUAUAAGGAUUAUGGUGAUCUAAACUUAGUAUAUUAUAUAAUUAAAUUAUAUGAUUAUAAUGAAGUUAGAUUAGUAUAAUUUAUACUAGUAAUUGAAACUAUGAAUUUAUAAUUUGUAGAUUCAUAAAAUGUUCAAAUAUGGUCUUCGGCUUCAAGUGUAUUGUAGAAUUAUCAAGAAUAUAUUCAAGAGAGAUUAAAAAUAUUGUUUAAAGAAAUGAGAGCUUAUUCAAGAAUAAGUGCUUGUAAUGAAACUAAGUUUAAAGUGUUUCAAGUGCUAGGAGCGGCGCAUCCAAGGCUCGAGGAGGACAACCGAAGCAAGCUUGAAGAGGUUUGAAUUCAAUCACUUAAGGUGGGGUUUACUUUUAUCUGUAAGCGUAGUUGUUACAUGGUUAUAAUCAUUGUUGUGUUGUGCGUCAUUCAUAUGAACUAAUGGGACCCACAAGGGGUCGGAUCCACAAGGGAUCAAAGAGCUGAACGGCCCACAAGGGGUCAGGUCCACAAGGGACCGAGACUAGUCUCACAAGAUGUCAGCUAAGUGAAAAAAUUAUAAGAGUUCAACAUGCUAUGAUUCAUUACACAAUUGGUUAUAACUGCUUGCAGUGUUUACCCCACUGAGUGUGCUUGCACACUCAUACCCUAUUAUUUAUGAUUUCUUUUCAGGUUAAGGAGUUGACGGCAAGACGGCAGACAUGGAGCUCCACAUUCU